CGGCUCAGAACGAACGCUGGCGGCAGGCUUAACACAUGCAAGUCGAGCGCCCCGCAAGGGGAGCGGCAGACGGGUGAGUAACGCGUGGGAAUCUACCCAUCUCUACGGAAUAACGCAUGGAAACGUGUGCUAAUACCGUAUACGUCCUUCGGGAGAAAGAUUUAUCGGAGAUGGAUGAGCCCGCGUUGGAUUAGCUAGUUGGUGGGGUAAAGGCCUACCAAGGCGACGAUCCAUAGCUGGUCUGAGAGGAUGAUCAGCCACACUGGGACUGAGACACGGCCCAGACUCCUACGGGAGGCAGCAGUGGGGAAUAUUGGACAAUGGGCGCAAGCCUGAUCCAGCCAUGCCGCGUGAGUGAUGAAGGCCCUAGGGUUGUAAAGCUCUUUCACCGGUGAAGAUAAUGACGGUAACCGGAGAAGAAGCCCCGGCUAACUUCGUGCCAGCAGCCGCGGUAAUACGAAGGGGGCUAGCGUUGUUCGGAUUUACUGGGCGUAAAGCGCACGUAGGCGGACUAUUAAGUCAGGGGUGAAAUCCCGGGGCUCAACCCCGGAACUGCCUUUGAUACUGGUAGUCUUGAGUUCGAGAGAGGUGAGUGGAAUUCCGAGUGUAGAGGUGAAAUUCG
This 622-nucleotide ribosomal RNA is filed under the name Phyllobacterium sp. S5.LIG.009. RNAcentral's name for it is "bacterial SSU rRNA". It matches the Rfam family "Bacterial small subunit ribosomal RNA", at positions 20 to 690 of the family's 1533-position model. Lineage: Bacteria; Pseudomonadati; Pseudomonadota; Alphaproteobacteria; Hyphomicrobiales; Phyllobacteriaceae. The record is from RNAcentral.